AACCCUUGUGGAGGAGGACGCCGAAGGUGGGGCUAAUGACUGGGGUGAAGUCGUAACAAGGUAGCCGUACCGGAAGGUGCGGCUGGAUCACCUCCUAACAGGGAGACAACAAAAUGUUUAAUAUUAUUAUUUUGUCACCUUAGGUCGAUCGGUAUCUCACGUUUUUAAUUUAUUAAGAAUUUCAUUUCCUAAGUUUUUCUAGGUCACACCCAUUAUUUUUCCUGGGCCAUUAGCUCAGGUGGUUAGAGCGCACCCCUGAUAAGGGUGAGGUCCCUGGUUCAAGUCCAGGAUGGCCCAUAUCUCUAUGUUGGGGGUAUAGCUCAGUUGGUAGAGCGCCUGCUUUGCAAGCAGGAUGUCAGCGGUUCGAGUCCGCUUACCUCCACUGAUUACCACCUCUUCCAUAACCGGUAGAAAGGAAAUGUUUUGAGUUGUGAUCAAAUUCUGAAAGAAUCUAGCUUCCUAAUGAAAUCAUUAAGAUGCUGGACUCAUUGAAUUAAUUUCAUUGUUUUCAGAGAACCUUGACAACUGCAUAGAUUAUUUUUAAAGACAAUAAGCAUCUUUAAUGAUGCAGAUUUAUUAUUUGUGCGAAUGCAUUAAAUAACAAUUCUAUUAAGCUGAUGCUUCAAUUUUUGAAGUUAUUGGUCAAGCUACAAAGGGCUCACGGAGGAUACCUAGGCACACAGAGG
Molecule: unclassified non-coding RNA, 686 nt
Filed under: uncultured Prochlorococcus sp.
Lineage: Bacteria; Bacillati; Cyanobacteriota; Cyanophyceae; Synechococcales; Prochlorococcaceae
Description: partial may contain 16S ribosomal RNA, 16S-23S ribosomal RNA intergenic spacer, and 23S ribosomal RNA
Rfam family: Bacterial small subunit ribosomal RNA (bases 1-98)
Source: RNAcentral